GAGUUUGAUCCUGGCUCAGGAUGAACGCUAGCGGCAGGCUUAAUACAUGCAAGUCGAGGGGCAUCAAGGUACACGAAAGUGUAUUGUUGGCGACCGGCGGACGGGUGAGUAAUAGGUAGGUAACCUACCUCAUACUGAGGCAUAGCUGGGAGAAAUUCCAGGUAAUUCCUCAUGAGGUUAUAUGACACAUGUGAUAUAAUCAAAGGUAUCGCAAGGUACUGGUAUGAGAUGGGCUUACUGACCAUUAGCUAGUUGGUGAGAUAAGAGCUCACCAAGGCGAAGAUGGUUAGGGGUUUUGAGAGAGAGAUCCCCCACAUUGGAACUGAGAUACGGUCCAGACUCCUACGGGAGGCAGCAGUAGGGAAUAUUGGGCAAUGGGCGGAAGCCUGACCCAGCCAUGCCGCGUGAAGGAAGACGGCCUUAUGGGUUGUAAACUUCUUUACUAUGCGACUAACUAGAUUUACGAGAUAAUUCUAUAGAAUGUAGCAUAGCAAAAAGCACCGGCUAACUCCGUGCCAGCAGCCGCGGUAAUACGGAGGGUGCGAGCGUUAUUCGGAAUUACUGGGUUUAAAGGGUGCGUAGGCGGCUAAGUAAGUUGUCAUUGAAAGGCUACAGCUCAACUGUAGUAGUGGUGGCGAUACUGCUUAGCUAAGAACAUGGGAGGGGUACUUGGAAUGUGUGGUGUAGCGGUGAAAUGCGUAUAUAUCACACAGAACACCAGAGGCGAAGGCGGAGUACUAGACCAUAGUUGACGCUGAGGCACGAAAGCGUGGGGAUCAAACAGGAUUAGAUACCCUGGUAGUCCACGCCCUAAACGAUGAUCACUAGAUAUUGGCGACAAACAGUCAGUGUCCAAGCGAAAGUGAUAAGUGAUCCA
Molecule: ribosomal RNA, 877 nt
Filed under: uncultured bacterium
Lineage: Bacteria
Description: bacterial SSU rRNA
Rfam family: Bacterial small subunit ribosomal RNA
Source: RNAcentral